GAUAAUAGUGUAUUUUUUUUUAGUAGGGUCAAAAUUGUAUUGGUAUUUUUUUUUUAGUGGAGUGAUAGUAUAAUUUUUUUUAUGGGAUAAUAGUACAAUAUUUUUUGGCAGUGGGGUCAGCUGCCCCCACAGCCUUGUUGCCUCCACCCUGCUUCUAUUCGAAAGACAUUAUCACUUAUAAAACUUUUUUGCCCCAAAAUGAAACGAACUUGAAAAGAGUAAUCUUAACUCCUUAAAAGAGCAAAGUACUUUUUUGUCACAUUUACUGGUGGGAAUUAGGUAGUGAUGCAGCGGACAUAACACAAGAAAUAGAACAAAUCUAUUUCAAGAAAAAAUUCACUCAAAACCACAAGUAAACCUUGAGUCCACAAGGAAGAACAAAGAGAAAACACUCGAGAAUAUUUUAUUUAUUUAUUUUAUAACCCAGAACAUCCACCCAACCCGACACAACACCAAAGAGAGCAGUCCAAAGUGGGGUGGAGUGGGACUCGCUUAGCAACCCACCCACAUGUAAAUAGUAAGGUUAACCCAGCUGACAGGGCUCGAACUUGGGAUGCAUCAUGCACUACGCUUGCCCUCCUCCGCACUUA
Molecule: long non-coding RNA, 590 nt
Filed under: Actinidia chinensis (golden kiwifruit)
Lineage: Eukaryota; Viridiplantae; Streptophyta; Magnoliopsida; Ericales; Actinidiaceae
Description: long non-coding RNA (ACHI_LNC000659)
Source: RNAcentral